RNAcentral lists this ribosomal RNA (397 nucleotides) under uncultured bacterium. RNAcentral's name for it is "bacterial SSU rRNA". It matches the Rfam family "Bacterial small subunit ribosomal RNA", at positions 30 to 431 of the family's 1533-position model. The record is from RNAcentral.
UUGAACGCUGGCGGCAUGCCUUACACAUGCAAGUCGAACGGCAGCGCGGGGCAACCUGGCGGCGAGUGGCGAACGGGUGAGUAAUAUAUCGGAACGUACCCUGGAGUGGGGGAUAACGUAGCGAAAGUUACGCUAAUACCGCAUACGAUCUAAGGAUGAAAGCAGGGGACCGCAAGGCCUUGUGCUCCUGGAGCGGCCGAUAUCUGAUUAGCUAGUUGGUAGGGUAAAGCCUACCAAGGCAUCGAUCAGUAGCUGGUCUGAGAGGACGACCAGCCACACUGGAACUGAGACACGGUCCAGACUCCUACGGGAGGCAGCAGUGGGGAAUUUUGGACAAUGGGCGCAAGCCUGAUCCAGCCAUGCCGCGUGGAUGAUGAAGGCCCUAGGGUUGUAAAGU